AAGAAACUGAGAUUGAUAUACAUUAAAAAAAAAAAAACAUUUUCUUUUACUUUUUUUAAUCAUAUCCAACAGGCUGGUUCACCAACUCACAAGUUCAAAGUCCAAACAUCAGUGAAUGAUCUUCAACUUCAAAACUCCUAAAUUUCCCACUUCUCAACCCUGCUUAUCUCUGCUUUUGACUUAAUCGAUUAAUGGCUUUCGAUUUAAUCUUUUGGCUUCUCAUUUGUUUCCCUCUCAACAUUGCUUUUCUGGCUUCAGCUUUCUACCAGGUUUUGAUGUUAUCUGACUUAGAAGCUGAUUAUAUAAAUCCAUAUGAUGCUUCAUCAAAGAUCAAUUACUUCGUGGUUCCUGAGUUUAUUGGACAAGGAUUAUUGUGUGCUCUUUUUCUCUUCACGGGUCACUGGGUCAUGUUUCUUUUGAUGCUUCCUCUUGCUUCCUAUCAUGUGAUGCUGUAUGUUAAGCGGCAGCAUCUCCUUGAUGUUACUGAAGUGUUUAGGGUACUCAAUGCUGAGAAGAAAUUUCGGAUAGUCAAACUUACUUUUUACCUAACAUUGGUUAUGAUAACUAUCUUCAGAAAGAGUCCUCAUGUAAAGUGGACCCAGUCUUUGGGCCAGCUAGCAUACUGGUGUUGGUGUUCUAUCACAAAGCUUUCCAGACUAUGAAAUAUUGGAACAACAUGGAAAGCGCAUGUACACUAGUUUACUUUCACAAAUUUGAUUAGUAUUCUCCCCUUUUAUCUUAUGGUGCGUUAUACCAAACAAAAAAUCACCCAGGCUUGUAUUAAUCGUCGUCAACUAUUUCGAUAUGGAUGAUGAUUGACCUCGGAGAUCCUUUGAAUAUGUGCAGUAUGACAACCUGUUGUAAAGAGCUAAUCUUUCAUUUCUAGCACGAUCAUAUAAGCUUACCAGUUUCAAGUUAAAUGAUGUGAGCUCUGCAUGUUGUUUUGGUUACAAGGAGAGUUCUAGAAUUUGUGUGAUGAUUUUUAAGGGUUGCAUAAUAGGGAUUCAUCUUCAUGAUCAUGCAGUUCCUGAAGAAACUUGCUGCCACUUGAGCUAUUACAAUUUACAAUGUAUAUUUGGAUUUUACAUACUUUUGGUCCAUGAUGUUAAUUUGAGCUCAAGGGAUUUUGAACAAGUUGUAUUAAUGAACAGAAACACACGUCCUGUAAUAGAAAUGGAAACAGUAAUUUUUCAGGCAACAUGUGGCUAAUGCUGCCUGUGUUUGGAAUGAGAUAAAUUUGCAGCAGCGGAUUCCAAACACAGGUGGGAGUUGCUACCUGCACCCCCUUUUAGUACAUAGUUUUACCGAGUAAUUUUUCAGAUCAAUAUUUAGUUA
Molecule: RNA transcript, 1335 nt
Organism: Medicago truncatula (barrel medic)
Lineage: Eukaryota; Viridiplantae; Streptophyta; Magnoliopsida; Fabales; Fabaceae
Gene name: protein cornichon homolog 1
Exons: 6
Source: RefSeq, a predicted model, not a curated record